UACGUAGGGUGCAAGCGUUGUCCGGAAUUAUUGGGCGUAAAGAGCUCGUAGGCGGUUUGUUGCGUCGGCUGUGAAAUCCCGAGGCUCAACCUCGGGUCUGCAGUCGAUACGAGCAAACUAGAGUGUUGCAGGGGAGACUGGAAUUCCUGGUGUAGCGGUGAAAUGCGUAGAGAUGUGGAGGAACACCAAUGGCGAAGGCAGCCUUCUGGGCCAACACUGACGCUCAUGCACGAAAGCGUGGGGAGCAAACAGG
Molecule: ribosomal RNA, 253 nt
Filed under: uncultured bacterium
Lineage: Bacteria
Description: partial 16S ribosomal RNA
Rfam family: Bacterial small subunit ribosomal RNA
Source: RNAcentral